Salvator merianae (Argentine black and white tegu) is the source of this 203-nucleotide long non-coding RNA. Lineage: Eukaryota; Metazoa; Chordata; Lepidosauria; Squamata; Teiidae. The record is from Ensembl.
GCAACCAGCAACUGAUCUGCUUCAGGAUAUUGAAAAGUUCACAAGGAGCUGCCAAGAAGCUCAUUCAUCUGAGAAUUCUGCAGUAACUCUAUCUGCUGUGUUUAAGUGGAGGAUCUCAAACUUCUGUGAUGUCAGUUCCUUUCUGAAGGAAGUCAUGGAGCAAUUUCAAGGCACUUACAUAUCCAGACUUCCAUAUCAGAAAG